AUUGAACGCUGGCGGCAGGCCUAACACAUGCAAGUCGAGCGGAUGAAGGGAGCUUGCUCCUGGAUUCAGCGGCGGACGGGUGAGUAAUGCCUAGGAAUCUGCCUGGUAGUGGGGGAUAACGUCCGGAAACGGGCGCUAAUACCGCAUACGUCCUGAGGGAGAAAGUGGGGGAUCUUCGGACCUCACGCUAUCAGAUGAGCCUAGGUCGGAUUAGCUAGUUGGUGGGGUAAAGGCCUACCAAGGCGACGAUCCGUAACUGGUCUGAGAGGCUGAUCAGUCACACUGGAACUGAGACACGGUCCAGACUCCUACGGGAGGCAGCAGUGGGGAAUAUUGGACAAUGGGCGAAAGCCUGAUCCAGCCAUGCCGCGUGUGUGAAGAAGGUCUUCGGAUUUUAAAGCACUUUAAGUUGGGAGGAAGGGCAGUAAGUUAAUACCUUGCUGUUUUGACGUUACCAACAGAAUAAGCACCGGCUAACUUCGUG
Molecule: ribosomal RNA, 484 nt
Filed under: uncultured bacterium
Lineage: Bacteria
Description: partial 16S ribosomal RNA
Rfam family: Bacterial small subunit ribosomal RNA
Source: RNAcentral